This 253-nucleotide ribosomal RNA is filed under the name uncultured bacterium. RNAcentral describes it as "partial 16S ribosomal RNA". It matches the Rfam family "Bacterial small subunit ribosomal RNA", at positions 524 to 776 of the family's 1533-position model. The record is from RNAcentral.
UACGUAGGGCGCAAGCGUUAUCCGGAAUUAUUGGGCGUAAAGAGCUCGUAGGCGGUUUGUCGCGUCUGCCGUGAAAGUCCGGGGCUCAACUCCGGAUCUGCGGUGGGUACGGGCAGACUAGAGUUCGGUAGGGGAGACUGGAAUUCCUGGUGUAGCGGUGAAAUGCGCAGAUAUCAGGAGGAACACCGGUGGCGAAGGCGGGUCUCUGGGCCGAAACUGACGCUGAGGAGCGAAAGCGUGGGGAGCGAACAGG